GAAAACUCCCUGCUGGAGCCAGCGUCGUGACGUCAGAGACAUUAUUGGGGAUGUACCACGCGCCUGCGCGUAUUCAUGACUCUUGACUUUCAGUGUGCUUCGCUAGCAGACACAUGCAGUUCUGUUCCAGCACCUCACUAAAAUGUUGAAUUCUUUGUGUGUACGUGUGCGUUGAUGACAAUAGACCACACACACACACACACACACACAUACACAUAUGUUUAUCAAUAAAUCCCAUAACAUCACCUAAAGUCGCAGCUGUUCUCUGACCGGAGCACAUAGUCAGUGAGGGGGCGACUAGCCAUCAAUGUACACGUCCGUCACACAUAUUUUUAUGUAAUUCUAACAUUGUAUAAACAAGCUUAAGAGUUUAAGCUUUUUUAUACAAUGUGCCAAUAUUUUGUAUCAGUUUAAUCAACUGUCAGAAUUGGUUACUAAAUUAAUCACUAUUUGCAGCCGUAAAUUAUAUAAAUUUGAAACCUUAUCUAAAAAAGUAAUUUCAAUCAAGAUUGAUAAAAAAAAUAGCAAUUUAAUUGUUUGCAUGUUGAUGUAUUUCCAAUAUUGUAUUAAGCGAUUAAAUGAAAAAUUGGCAGAAUGUGGCAAUUGUUUUUUUUUUUUACAAAUUAAUCAUCUAAAAAAUCGUUAGUUACAGCCCUACUAAUGAUCAUCAUACAGUAUCUUAGGGGAGAUUUACGGGAUGUGUCAAAACAAAAGAAGAAGAAACGACUCCAGACAGGCUCAGGACAGAAAGAAGUAUAUUUUAGCUAAGUUUGAGUAACAAUACAGCCUUCACAUGAGGCUCAGAAGCAUAGAGUAUAUGUAUGCAUAAAUAUGCAUUCAAAUCCACAAACCAAAUAAAUAAAUAAAUAAUUACUUACAAAUAAAUAACAAGCAUUUCUGGAAUAUACAGUACAGCAGUUGAAAUGUUCCAAUAUUGAAGCAGUACCUUUAUGGAUCCAUGGAACAGGGGGAAUGGAUAUUCAGUGUUCGACAAGCCAACAGGGGUCCCAACGCUUCGGCACAGCCCAUCGUUUCACGCUUUGAUUUGUGUGUUGUUUUUUUCCCUUUUUUUCUUAAAACCAAUUCCCAGGACUCUGUAGCUGCAUUACAGCAACAUAAAGUGAUAAAAGAAGCCAGUUUGUUCAUAGGUGGUUCAUGGAACCAGAUGCUCAAUGAUCGGGGGGCAUUCCACAAAGUCUGAAAAGAUUUUUAAAAAACAAACAAAAAACCCAAAACAAACAGAAGAAAAUAAGGACAGAUGUGCUGCGUGUCAGUCCCCGUGAGGUAACUCUCCAUUCUUGUUUCCCUUCACACAUAAAGUCUCCUCACUAAGAUUUAAAAAUACUGAAAUCUCGUGAAUCCCUUUGUGAAAUAGUCCUGCCAAGCAAACGGAUAAUUUAAGAUCAACAGCAGCACCGAACUUAUAAAGACAAAAAAGAA
This is a long non-coding RNA of Xiphophorus couchianus (Monterrey platyfish), 1440 nucleotides long. RefSeq lists it as uncharacterized. The transcript is spliced from 2 exons. Lineage: Eukaryota; Metazoa; Chordata; Actinopteri; Cyprinodontiformes; Poeciliidae. The record is from RefSeq and is a predicted model, not a curated record.